CCUACGGGGCGCAGCAGGCGAGAAAACUUUGCAAUGUGCGAAAGCACGACAAGGGUAAUCCGAGUGGUUUCUGCUAAAGGAACCUUUUGUUAGUCAUUGAACCACUAAUGAAUUAGGGGUGGGCAAGUUCUGGUGUCAGCCGCCGCGGUAA
This 151-nucleotide ribosomal RNA is filed under the name uncultured archaeon. RNAcentral's name for it is "partial 16S ribosomal RNA". It matches the Rfam family "Archaeal small subunit ribosomal RNA", at positions 322 to 473 of the family's 1478-position model. The record is from RNAcentral.